UAUAUAGAAUGUGAAAGGUCUUCUCACAUAGGAUGAUUCUUGAUUAAAAGGAUAAUCACCUAAAAUGAAUCAUGCUUGUUAGAAUAGAAUAACUUGAAGUUGAGCCUUAUGAUUCCUUCAUGUGUAGUUGAAUUAUAUAUCUUAGGAUGGUAGAUCUCCUAGAAGCUUGGGAUGGUAGAUAUCAUGGUAGCUUGGGAUUGAGGAAUUAUGCUCUCAUAAGGUUAGCUUGAACUAGUAUUGGUAGGAUGCUUUUUAUUGUAGCUUGCAUUAAUAUAGGCAUGAUGGCCUUGAAUUAAGGAUCUAUGCUCUCCUAUGGGUAGCUUGAACUAGCAUUGUUAGAAUGCCUUCAUGGUAGCUUGACUUGGUUAGGCCAAGACUAUUUCUUGGUAGCUUAGGAUUGAGACACUAUACUCUCCUAUGGAUAGCUUAGGGUUGAAGACUCAUACUCCCCUAAGGAUAACUUGUAUCAUAUUGAAUGGUUGUAUGGUAGCUAGGUUGGUAUACUUGUAUCCUUUCUUGGAUAGUUUGGAUUGCAUGAUAAGGUGCUUACCAUGGUAGUGAGGUCUAGCAUAGUAGUACGCUAUUCUUUCGUAGUCUAGAAUGACGAAUCGUAAGCAUUGAGUAAGCUAGCCUAAGGGAGUACUUAGUGUGAGUGGUAGUAUGGGAUGUCAUUCGUACAUGGGACAAGUAUGACUUGAAGCUACUUACUAAGUGUCCUCUUAUGUAAUGUAUGCCUAGCUUGGAUUGUUGUUAUAGUUGCCUUCCAUGAUAUGAUUGAAUCAAGUUGAUAGUUCGUUGUCAAUAUGAAGUAGGUUAAUAGUGACUUCUAGAAAUGGUAAAUAUGAAUAUGGUGACUUCAAAGAUAUGCUUGGUGUGUGUGGUAUUAUGGGAUGCCCCACAUGCAUUGCACAAGUGUGUCUUGAGGUUACUUAGGAGUAUAGUGUUCUUAUGACAUGAAAACUUAGGUCUUGACUAUGAAGGUGGACUAUGACCAAGAAUGACUAAAGAAAGGUACUUAGCUUGGAUAGUAUUAUGGGAUGCUAUUCUUGCCUUGCACAAGUAUACUUGGAGGUGGCUUGUGAAGUAGUUCUCUUAAAUAUGAAAGAAUAAUGGUUGAAGUAUGAAAUUAUGAAUGUCUUAUGUUGACUUGUCUUGAUAUGAUGCUUAUGUUAGAGUUUAUGUUAUGAAUAUGUUAUUGUCUCUUAUGCUUAUGUCUUAUGUUGACUAACCCUUUUUGAGAUGCUUUAUGAUGUUAUGCUAGCUUUCAUACUUGGUACAUUUUGUACUAACGCAUAUUGCCUAUAUUCUAAUCAAAUGUAGGGUGUUGGAGAUUGAGUUGCUUGAAGGCUAGGUUUCCAAGGAUCUAGAAGACUUGAAAAUUUGGUGAGUCCUCAUAGCUUCAAGGACAAACCCACUAUGUUCCUUUUAUGUCAUUCUUGUGUUUUAGACUUUUAUAUGGGUUGCGUCCCAACACUUUUAUUGAUUUUAUUCAUAGAUGGUUUGAGACAAAGACUUAGUAAAGACUUCCGCUUGCUUAUGAAAUUGUCUUAGAUUGUUUGAAAGAAAGUUUUAAAGUUUCCCUACUUUUCUACGAUCUUAUGUUAGUAUAAUGCUAAGAGCUUGUAUGAGACCCCUUCGGGGUCAAGUACGCCAUAUUACGUCUAGGGGGUACCCCUGGGUCGUGACAAGUUGAUAGUUCCUUGUCAAUAUGAAGUAGGUCAAUAGUGACACCUAGAAAUGGUAAAUAUGAAUAUGGUGACUUGAAGGAUAUGCUUGGUGUGUGUGGUAUUAUGGGAUGCCCCACAUGCAUUGCACAAGUGUGUCUUGAGGUUACUUAGGAGUAUAGUGCUCUUAUGACAUGAAAACCUAUGUCUUGACUAUGAAGGUGGACUAUGACCAAGAAUGACUAAAGAGAGGUACUUAGCUUGGAUAGUAUUAUGGGAUGCUAUUCUUGCCUUGCACAAGUAUACUUGGAGGUGGCUUGUGAAGUGGUUCUCUUAAAUAUGAUAGACUAAUGGUUGAAGUAUGAAAUUAUGAAUGUCAUAUGUGGACUUGUGGUGAUAUGAUGCUUAUGUUGGAGUUUAUGUUAUGAAUAUUUUAUUGUCGCUUAUGCUUAUGUUAUGUUGACUAACCAUUUUGAGAUGCUUUAUGAUGUUAUGCUAGCUUUCAUACUUGGUACAUUUUGUACUAACGCAUAUUGCCUACAUUCUAAUCAAAUGUAGGGUGUUGGAGAUUGAGUUGCUUGAAUGCUAGGUUUCCAAGGAUCUAGAAGACUUGAAGAUUUGGUGAGUCCUCAUAACUUUGAGGACAAACCCACUAUGUUCCUUUUAUGUUAUUCUUAUGUUUUACACUUUUUAUGGGCUACGUCCCAAGAUUUUUAUUCAUGUUAUUCAUAUAUGGUUUGAGACAAAGACUUAGUAAAGACUUCCGCUUGCUUAUGAAAUUGUUUUAGAUUGUUUGAAAGAAAGUUUUAAAUUUUCCCUACUUUUCUACGAUCUUAUGUUAUGAUGAUGCUAAGGGCUUGUAUGAGACCCCUUUGGAGUCAAGUAUGCCAUAUUACGUCUAGGGGGUACCCCUGGAUCGUGACAGGUUAUAUCCUAUCCUGGCACUUGAAUUGAUAUUUAAAAGUAAAAAAGAGUUCAGGAAUGUUGUGAUAACUCAUGAAGUCAGUCAAGGAAAGUAUAUAAAAUGGCGCAAGAAUGAUAAGGAAAGGAUACGAGCAGUUUGUGCGAAGCAUCCAGAUUGUGAUUGGGAGAUUAUGGCUUCUAAAAUGUACAGAGAUUGUGCUUUUCAAGUAAAGACAUACAAUCCGACCCACAAGUGCAAAAAUAGGAACUAUGUUAACAAAACCAUCACAUCAUUUUUCAUUGCUAGAAAAUAUCUUAAUGCCAUAAAAACAAACAGGAAUUGGAAGAUCUCUGAAUUUAGAGAUCAUGGUAGUAUUCAGUUAAGAGCACAUGUGAUAUUAUCUAAAUGUAGAAGGGCAAAAAAGAAGGCAAUUGCAACGAUCGAUGGAGAUAUCUCUGAUCAAUUCAAGUUGUUGUGGAACUAUUGCAAUGAAAUAGUGAGGACAAAUCCAAAUACUUAUGUUUAUAUGAAGUUGGUUGAAAAUGAAGAACCCUGCAAGCCUGAAAGAUUUCAGAGAUUCUACAUUUGUUUUAGUGCUUGCAAGGAAGGAUUCAAAAGUGGUUGUAAAAAGAUAGUAGGAGUGGAUGGUUGUUGGUUCAAGGGUCCAAUGUAUGAGACUCAAUUGUUAACUGUUAUUGGGCUUGAUCCUAAUAACAAUAUCUAUCCGAUAGCAUAUGCAGUUGUGGAGAAAGAAAAUUGUGAGUCAUGGGCAUAGUUUUUGGAUCAUCUAAAGCUUAACUUGGAGAUCGAUAAUGGAGCUCACUGGACCUUCAUGUCAGACAAACAAAAAGGUCUGAUAGAAGCAUUUAAUGAUAUAUUGCCUUUUGUCGCUCAUAGAUUUUGUGUUAGACACUUGCAUAGUAAUUUCAAAAGGGCUGGAUUUGGUGGUAACACACUAAGAAAUGCACUUUGGAAAGCUGCUAGUGCGACAACAGUAAGGUGGUUUGAUGAACGCAUGGUUGAAAUAUUUGAUUUGGAUCCCGAAGUUGCUAUUUGGUUGAGAGAUAAGUCACCUAGUGAAUGGUCUAAAUCUCACUUCUCCGAAGAUGCAAAAUGUGAUACCUUAGUGAAUAACAUAUGUGAAUAUUUUAAUAGCAUGAUAUUGGAUGCAAGAGAUAAGGAUUGCUCAUGACAAAAAUGCAAGCAAAUAGGGAUAAAUCUGCCAAGUGGAGUUCUGAUGAUAUUUACCCCAGAAUUAAAAAUGUAUUGUGCAAAAGUCAAGCUGCCGCUUCUGAAUAUAUUCCUAAAAAAUCAAAUGAGUGGAACUAUGAGCUUAUAGGAGCUAGCAUAACUGACAUUUGGGCCGUAAAUUUGUUAAAUAGAAAAUGCAGCUGUAGAAAAUGGAAUUUGAUAGGGCUACUUUGUAAACAUGUUAUAGCAGCAAUUUGGGCAAAAAAUGAUGAAAUCAGUUCGUAUAUUGAUGAUUGCUAUAAGGUGGAAACUUAUAGAAGGAUCUAUGAAUUUGUUAUUCUUCCUAUGAAUGGUCAAAGUAUGUGGCCGCAACAUGAUAAUAUUCUUCCUUUGCCUCCAAGAGUAGUAAGACAAAGUACUAAAGGGAGAAAACAAAAGAAGAGAAAAAAAGAAUCAGAUGAAGUUGGCGCGAGUAGGAAAAAAGCUAAGAGGAAGCAAAAAUAUUUAGGAUGCAGUAGAUGCCACAAGCUUGGACAUAACACAAGAACUUGCAAGUAUAAUUUGUUGCAGACAGAGUCUCAAAAUGUAUCUCCGCUAUAUCAUGAAUCAUCUUCAUCAUGUGCUCCUACAAAACUACCAGUACUUUUUCUUUUAUCUAUAGCGUAUUUCACUUAAUUUAUUAUAUUAAAUUUGUGUAAACAUUUCCACUAAUUCAUUAUACUUCACAGGUUAGAAGAGCUGCAGAGAAUCGAGCUAAUUUUAAAUCAACGAAGUGACAGUGCUCUCGUGAUUGAUGUAGUUUUGCGAAAUUUGAUUUAUGGUGCAAAUUUACAUUUGAGUGAUAAUUUUAUGUGAUUAGUUGUUUUUUUUUUGUUGUUUUAUGUUAUUUUCUUUAGCUGAUCAUUGUAGUGUUUUUUGGUGUUGUUUUUGUGCAGUUUAGGGUAGCUUGGUGAUGCUUUUUGGUGCAGUUUUGGUGUGGUUUGGCGCAGUUUCUAUGCUAGUCUUUGUGCAGUUUGGUGCUAAUUUUUGGUGGUUGGGUGCUGCUGUCUGUGCAACAAUUUGGUGCUGUUUUUUGCGUAGUUUGGUGACGUUUUUGGAGCUGUUUUUGUGCAGUUUGGUGACGUUUUUGGAGUUGUGUUUUGUGCAGUUUGGUGCUGAUUUUUGGUAGUCUGAUGCAGCAGUUUGGUGCUGAUUUUUUGGUGGUUUGAUGCUGCUGUCUAGUGAUGUGUUAUGUAUAGUUUGGUGCUGAUUUUUUGGUGUUUUGAUGCUGCUGUCUAGUGAUGUGUUAUGUAUAGUUUGGUGCUGAUUUUGCAGUUUUCUGCUGAUUUUUUGGUGUUUUGGUGCUGCAAUUCGAUCAAAGUUUGAUAGCUGCUAUUUUUUGUUGUAGUUUAAGCUAUUUUCUGCACAAAAAUUGUUGAAAACAGAGCACUAUAGUUCAAUUUAGUUGCUGAUUUUUGAACUUUUCUGCAAUUUUAUGCAGUUUCAUUGAUGUAAUGACCGAUUAUUAACAUGAAAAUAGAAUCAUAUUUUUUGCUCACAAUAUUUUCUCAAUUGUGUUCGUUACUUUGCCUUUUGCUUUAACUCGCAUGAAAUAACGACCAACGACAUAAUUGCAAUAAGACAAUGAAGAAAAGAAUUGAAAAAAAGGGUGAGGAAAUAGUGAGAUAAUGGCAAAAGAAAUGACAAAAAGAAAGUCAAUGGAGAAGAAUUGAAAAAAAAAAAGAAGUGAGGAAACAAUGAGAUAACGGAGAAAAAGAGGUGGAAAAAGAAAGGAGACAGAUUGACUUAUAAUGUAUGUUAAUGGUGUUUGUUAACAGUUUUUGUAAAAAGUGGAUAGAAACCAAACUUGACAGAAGGGUGGAUAGUUAAAGGACCAUAUCCGUUAAGUGUAUAGUUAAGGGACUAUUUUAGACCUACUGUGAUAGUUUAGGGACCAUUUAUGUCAUUUUCUCACCGAAAUUACAUGCUAAAUAUUUUAGAUGAGUUUUAGGGAUUCCUGUGUCAUCUAAAUUACUUGAGAUGGUGUUGAAUCAUAUGUAAAUUGAGUCAAGAGAAAUAAGUAAGAAUUUUACCGGUUAAUAAAAUAGUUGGUGGAUUUGAGAUCAUGAAUGAAUUCAAUAGGAAAAACUCUAGUAUUGGCAGAGUGAGUGAUUUCAAAAAGUUAUUAUGUGAUAAAAGGGUUAUGUGAUGAUCAGUGGGAAGGUGAAAUAACUCUUAAUGGAGUAGUUGACAGCAAAAUGAGGUGAGUGACUUGGGGAUAGAGUAUAUUUCAAAAAGUUAUUAUGUGAUAAAAGGGUUAUGUGAUGAUCAGUGGGAAGGUGAAAUAACUCUUAAUGGAGUAGUUGACAGCAGAAUGAGGGGAGUGACUUGGGGAUAGAGUAUAUGAAUUCAAGGGGUUAGUUUUUUAUCGCAAGGGAGGUGGUUAAAGGAUCAAGGGUAUAUAGUUCAAGUCUUAUGUUUUUUUUUAAUUAUUUACAUGUUAUAAUUAUGUGGUGGAUUCAGAUCGACCGAUGAUGUCUACCAAUACGUAUUGUUUGUACUGAUAUUAUUUUUGCUAUGUCACUUGACAAGUUUGGUUGCAGGAUUUGUGAUAUUUCUUAAGUGAAGUCGAUGUUGAUCUCUGACAAGUUCUAUUCUUCUUUCCUUAUGGUGGAAAUUCUGUGUUAUUUUUCAUGAUUUGUACUCUCUUAGAAGUUCUUGUACCCUGCUUAGACUACUUACUAGGAAGGGUUCCAUGUGCUUUUCAAAGACGGGGUAUUUUAUCACGGUUGACAAUUGAUUUUUAUAAUUAAAUAAGGUGAUAUAUUCAAUUUUGUUUAUUUUCGUGAUUUUUCAGUUCUAACUUGGUGAUAAGGGUUCUCCUAUCUAGGUGUUAGAGUAGGCGUCCGUACAACCCAAUUAUUUAAUUUGAAUCGUGACAAUUUGAUAUCAUAACAUUAAACACGGAUCUCUCAAUAUAAAAUCAAAUAUCGAAUAUAGUCCUGAUGAUUGAUAUGUUGACGUCCACAUUUAAUUUUCAGAAAACUAUGAAACAUUUAGGAAAUUAUUCCAAAAAUGAAAAAAUCAUAUACUUCCCAUCAAGUCCUUAACUAAUCCUCUUUUUAGUUUUUCUUUAGGAUUUAUGCAAAUACGUUUGCUUGAAUUUUCUACUAUGCAUGAUUGACUUUUUGUUUGAGCAAUUGCUACGAACUCCCUUGGAAUUGAUUUUUAUUUUAAUAGUAUUAACUACAAGAGGUAUUAAAUAAAAUUAUUUUGAUCUCAUUCUCAAAUGAGUAAUUAAAGACUAAUGAUUAUAUGUCUUUGGAUAAAUAAGAUAACUUUGUAUUUUGAUAAAAACAUUUACCAAACUCAUGAAGAACUAAAGUUAAUUGUUAACUAGUUGUUAUAUUUGUGUACAGGUGUAUGCACUAAUGCAAUAUCCAUCACUUUUAUGAUAACUUUCAAUUUUUUUUAAAAUUCUGAAUUUUAAUUAUUUAGAAUUGAUCAGUUAUUAUGUGUGUUUAUUUUUUGAAUUUGAAUCUUACUCAUUCAAAAUUCAAUUAUUAAGUCUGUCUAUUUUAUUCCUACAAUCUUUUUUAUGUGUUUAAAAACGUUUGAAUAAUUAAGAUUUAUGAUAAAAAAAAAUUAAUAUCGUGAAGAAUCAAUUCAUUUAAAGAUUUUAGUAAAGAUGGCAUUUUAUUAUUAUUCUAUCAUUUUCACCACUAAUCAUUGUUGCCUUAAAUAUUAUUGACUACCCCAGUCACAACUACACCACCACAAUCAAUUGUCCUCAUCACUAGUCAUUAUUUAUAUUCAUCAUUAUCAACUACUAUCACCAUUAGCACUAAUCAUUAUCGACAAUCGUUCAACAAUUAUCACUACACCAACCACCAUUAACUAUCAUUAUCAUUCACUAUAAGUAUUAGUCACUAGGGAAUUUGACCGCGCUUCGCGCGAUGGUUAAAAUUUUUAAGGGUUAAUUUUACAAAACUCACCUCCCUGUGGUUUACAAUAUUACGUAUACCUUCCAUAUUUUGAUUUUUUUGUAAUCAUUCUUUAAAUUUAUUUAAAAUAAUUAUAAAUUAAUUAUAAUUUGACAACUUGUCCUUUUGUAUUAAUUUAUUCAUAUUAAUCCACAUUAUUUUAAAUAAUUACUUAUAUAAUGAAAGUUUUAAAAGUAAAUCAUUAUGAAGAAGUGUGAUUCUUUGUUUGGUAAAAAUGGACACGUUUAUAUAUAUUUAUAUAAUAUAUAUUAUAGUAUAAAUUUAUUUGUGUUGAUUUAUUUUUAAAGUAUUUAUUAAAUAAGUCAUGUUUGUAAUAAUAUGCAUUAAUAUGAAGAAAUUAAUACAAAGAAGGACAAAUUUUUCAAGUUAUAAUUGAUUUAUAUUUAUUUUAAAUAAUUUUAAAGAAUGGUUACAAAAAAAAAAAAAUAAGGGAUGUAGGUGUAAUAUCGUAAACUACAGAAAAGGUGAGUGUUAUAGAGCGAAACCAAAAGGAAUUAUCCCAUUUUUUUAAUUAAAAAGUCAAUUUGUGAUCUCUAUCAAUGUCAUGUCUUCUUUUUCUCCAGUUAUAACAUCAUUAAUUGUUCAAAUUAUAUUAUAUUAUCAAGAUAAAUACCAACAUUGUUUUGUUAAACUUAACAAUUAAUAUUGAACAAAAGAGAGAAUUUAUUCUUAAGCAAUAAGCUAUAAUAUAUAUAUAUAUAUCUUUUAAUUAAUUUCAUUUCUAUUGUACAUAGCAAAUAUUUCGUAGUAAAUUAUGAUACACAAUACAUACAAGCAUUUAUUGGCAAUUGAUCCUUUUAAUUUCUUUUAAACUAAAAAAAAAUUAAAAAUAUUUUCUAUAAUUGUUAUUAAAUAAAAUAAAAAUGAAAUGAAAAUUAAAAAGAAACUAAAACAACCAUUGAGUUAAAAAAUAUUGGCAUAUACUAUUUCCCUAUCGUUUAUCCUUCGCUAAUGCCUCUACUAUUAUUUUGUUCUUUUUUCCUCCCUAUAUGUUGUACAAGUAAAAGAACACAUAAACACAAAGAAGGUAAAAGAAUUGUAUACAAACUACAAAGUAGUAGUGAUUCAACUUCAUUUAAUUGAAGUUUGCUGAUAAUUAUUUUUAACAAUUGAAGAAAUGAAACAAAUCCAUUACUGAUUUAAAUGUUAAGUAUUGAUGUUUAUUACUCAAUAAAAACUAAUAUCCUCCUCAUAAUUAAGACUCAUAAAUAUGUUAUAAUAAAAGUUGUAAUUUCAUAAUUAUAUAUAAUAAAAAUAUUAUAAAAAGGAUAAAGAAAUAAAAAUAUUAUAAUACCAGUAUUUCGAUAUUUUUAACAAUUAUAAAAAAUUAAAUAUGAGUAAAAGAAUCAUAUACCUUUUUAUAGAUUUAUUACAACAAAAUGUUGGAAAAUUUUGUCAAUUGAAGAACAAAACAAGAAAAUAAGAGUAGCAUAAGUCUUUCAACCUUUUGUUCUUAUUUAAACGACGUUUAUAUAUUUAUAUUAGUAAUUGUAAUUUAAUUUUAUAUAUAUAUUAAAAGGUUAUUUCGUGUUGUUUGGUUAUAAUAUUAUUAUAUCUUUUAUUCUAUUACUUUCUAUUGACAUUUUUAUGAGGAAAAAUAAGAGACCAAAUUAUAUAAAUAGAAAUUAUACAACAAAUAACUCUCAUACUUCAAAAAUUCAGUUACUCUUACUUCGAAUUAAAUUUUAAGUUCAUAUACAAAAUAUACUUAAGAGACAUCAUGAAAUACACAAGAAAGAAUGAAAGAAAGAAAAAAUAAUACAAUACACAUAUUAUUGCGACUUUAAUCAUUAAAAUUAAAAGUAGAAGGGGAAAAAAAUCAACACAUAAUUGUGUAAGAUCUUGUCAUAACCACUUCACAAGCAUAUCAAUAUUCAAAGCUUUCUUCUUCUUUUUCAAGUCAAACAAAGGAAGAGAGGCAUUACUCUUGUUUGAUAUUCACUUCACAAAUCUAUCACUAUUCAAAAGCUUUCUUCGUAUAAAAAUUAAAUUUAAGAGGCAUCAUAGAUAUAUAUAAGAAUAAAAAGAGAGAGAAAAUAAAGAAAGAAAAAAAGAAAUAGUACAAUACACAUAUACAUUAAAAAAUAGAAGAGAAAAGAAAUCAAUACAUAAUUAUCUAAGCUCUUGUCAAUAUUCAAUUCACUUCACAAGCCGAUCACUAUUCAAGAGCCUUCUUUUUUUUCUAUUAUUUUUUUAAGCCAAAUAAAAGCAUGAAUAUAAUACUAUGGUGAUAAUGAAGGGUAACUUUGGAUAAAAUAUCAUGAAACAAAAAAUAUGAAUUCAUAUAGAAAAUAAUGGAGGAAUACGGUUUCAUAUUUAAUAUUUAAAGGUUAUGAAUAUGAAAAGUUGAAAAUUAUGAGAGUUAUGAAUAUAUGCACAUUAUAUCUAAUAAAGAAGAUAUAUUAUGGUGGAAGAUGAAAAGUUGAGUACUUGAGUCUUGAAUAUAAAGACUUUAUGUGAUAUUAAAAAUAAAACAAAUAAUUAAAUGAAGAAAAAUGGCCAAAAAAUAGAGAAAAAAAAGAGAAAUAUGAAUGGAGGUCAUAUAGAGGUGUCACAUCACCUUGUCUAUGUUUCUCCUUUAUGAAUUUAGUAGGAAAAACUCUAGUAUUGACAGAGUGAGUGAUUUCAAAAAGUUAUUAUGUGAUAAAAGGGUUAUGUGAUGAUCAGUGGGAAGGUGAAAUAACUCUUAAUGGAGUAGUUGACAGCAAAAUGAGGUGAGUGACUUGGGGAUAGAGUGUAUGAAUUCAAGGGGUUAGUUUUUUUAUCGCAAGAGAGGUGGUUAAAGGAUCAAGGGUAUAUAGUUCAAGGCUUAUGCUUUUUUUUAUUAUUUACAUGUUAUAAUUAUGUGGUGGAUUCAGAUUGACCGAUAAUGCCUACCAAUACGUAUUGUUUGUACUGAUAUUAUUUUUGCUAUGUCACUUGACAAGUUUGAUUGCAGGAUUUGUGAUAUUUCUUAGGUGAAGUCGAUGUUGAUCUCUAACAAGUUCUAUUCUUCUUUCCUUAUGGUGGGAAUUGUGUGUUAUUUUUCAUGAUUUAUACUCUCUUAGAAGUUUUUGUACCUGCUUAGAUUACUUACUAGGAAGGGUUCCAUGUGUUUUUCAAAGACGGGGUAUUUUAUCAAGGUUGACAAUUGAUUUUUAUAAAACAUUUUACUAAAUGACUUAUAGUAUUGAAAAAGCACGGUGAAAUUACUAUAUUUAAUGUUAUUUUUUAAAUUAAUCUAUUAAAAAUGAUAUAUUUUCAUAUUUAAAAUAACCUAUAGCUUAAUACUUAUUAUUUUACUUCUCAUUAAUUGUAUGACCACAAAAAUAGCAUGAUAUAGAUUUAAAUUGCAUACUGAAUUAACAAUCGCUACAUAAAUUAAAAGGGAGAAAGUGACUAACCACUAUAAUAAAAGAGUCAUUUGGUGGCAAUUUUUUUUAACGAUAAUAUUAAUUUUAUAAAAGCAUUUAUCAAUAAUUAAAUUAAUACUAUUACAUACUAGAUCAAAAAAUCGCCGCAUAAAUUAUAAAUAAGAGAAUGAAUAAUAGAACCACGGGUCCAUCAUCGAUCUUAUUAAAAUUUGGAUAAAUUACGUAAUUACACAAUUUAUGAUAAUAUCAUCUCUAAAAAUUCCUACCAUUUAAAUUAAUUAUGAAAAUCUCAUUUUUUCUUCUCUCUCUUAACAUUCAAAUACAUUACUUCACCUCUAUCAUAUACAUUACAAAUUUAUUUGUGUACAUGUAUAUGGUACAAAUGUUAUAGAUGAUACAUAACCUCAAUUACUUCACCUCUAUCAGAUACAUUACAAUUUUAUUUGUUUACAAUGUAUUUGGUACAAAUGGUAUUGUUGAUGCAUAACUUCAAUUAUUUCAAACCUAAAUCAGUAUUUAUCUGGUUUAUGAUUAUGAAUAUGAUACAUAACUUAUAUAUCUGAUACAUAACUUAUGUAUCAUUUUCUAUGUAUCGGACCAAAGAGCAAUGCGUCCGCAAGUUCUGAAAACCCCAAAACUAUUGUAAUUUGAACUUAGAGUAAUCCUUCAAAAAACUUUGUUGAUUGUUAACAAGUAUACAAAUCUUGUUCCUGCUACAAUAUUCUUUCAAUUUAUUUUGUGUACAUUGACCUAGUCGCCUCCCUAUAAAAGAAAAUAUUUCUAGAUCUUUAACGUUUAGACCAAGUCGGUAAGGAAUGAAGAAUUAUACUUGGACUUUGUGUCACCCCCGACCCUACACCCUGGGCGCGACUGACACUCGAGAAUCAUUGUUGUCCCCAAGCGGACCCUUGGCCUGGCUUACUUACUCAGCGGAAGACUUAAACAUAAGAAAUAUAACUCAUGCAAUAACUUAAGAGAUAAUAACUUAGACAAAAUGGCAACUCAAGUCUUAAACGUAUACAAUUGAAAUGAAUAAGACUAAAGAACUAUAACUAUCUAUCUAUGAAGCCUCUAAAACAAAGAGGGAUGUGGGGAGAAGACCCCCGAUCAUCCUAACAAUGAAAUACUGAAAGCAAAUGAUAAAAGGACCCCUCUGAAAAGCUAGGAGGCUCACCAACAGACUCUGAGUGCUCAACUGGAUCAACGAGGUGCUGGGUGAUGAUCCUGGUUACCUGUGUCUGCAUCAUAAGACGAUGCAUGCCAAAUGGCAUCAGUACAUUGAAUGUACUAGUAUGCGAGGGCAAAACUAAACAUAACAUAAGCUUGAACGAAUCUGAAAGAAACACUUACCUUGGCUUUACUCAACUCAUGAAUAACUUAACUCAAUAUAAGCAAUAAAACACAUGAAAUAUAUGGAGAACUUUAUAAAACAGUAGAAAGCAACUUAGUUCGUUAAAGAAUAUGCAAUAACAAACUUAACUUUACUCAUAUAAUAAAGUAAUAUAGUUUAUGUGGGAGUUUCUCUAACCGACAACCACCACUAUGAGCCUAAGUGGUGAUACAACGUUUUGCCCACGCUACCAGAACUAUCCUAUACUUUGUCGUCAUAUAGGACGCCUUAACUAAGUGGAUCCACUAGUGUAUGCUUAAAAGCACUUAAGGAAUCAUGAAGACAAUCAGGAGGUUGGCAAUGCAAUCCGUUGCGCGGGGAUGCGAUUCGCCAAGAUGGGGCAAAUCUUUCCCAUAUCUCUAAAGGGGCCCUUGGGCCACUUGACUGUAAGGAAAAAGGGAAUGAUGACCUUGGGUUGUACCUAGUCUGAAACCAAGUGGAUUUAUUUUUUGUCCCAUAAUCCCCCGCUAUUAUACAUAUCACGAUACGUCAUAGCUGUAAAUUUUUUGUAUGAUCCUUUACUGCCCAUGCAUAAUGGCUACAUGGUUUAUGGAGACUUGAGUUAUUAUGAACUAGUGUCCCCAUAUCGGUGCUCAAUACUACUCCCAAAAUGUACUUAGCUCAUAUGUUUUUAGAACAAAACUUAUUUCUUUGGUUUGAGAUAAUUACUCAAAACUUAGCUUAAAAGCUCUCUUGGAAUCGAUGUUCCCUUUCUUGCUCAAAUGUGAAAACAUUUCUAACUUUUAGGAAUACUUAGUUCCCGUAUAAUCUUUGAAGAAAUGAACUUUACUCUUAACUCUUUAGUCAACUCGAAACUUAAGUCUUAAGACAAAGUUAAAACGUUUGCGAAAAACUUUUGAAAACUUUAUGAACUUCUCUUGACUUGCUUCUUAACAUCUAAAAUUGACUCUUCACUUUACUUGAAUUGAAUUAUGGAUUCAAGGUUCAUGAUCUCAUGUUUAUGGAUGAUUUCAUGAUGUUUAGACGUACCUUAGAGUGUUGGAAUCAACUAGAAAAUAUAGGUACGUUGCUAAGGAACUAGUACGGAAAGAAGGAGGGAAUUGGGAUGAACUGGCGUCCUUGGUGCUCUGAGAGGCGUGGGGCGCCAGAGCCCAAAGUUCAGAGACCCCUGCUUGGGGCUCUGAGAGGGGCGACGCCCCAGAGGCAAAAUAUCAGAGGGUUCUGCUUGGGGCUAUGAGAGGGAUGACACCUCAGGCCCCUAUUUCGACUUGGUUCUUUCCCCCAAACACUUAGAAACAACUAAUUCAUCAAUAUAUGCAAUAUUUAACUCGAAUUCACACCUAAAUACAUGAAUCAAUCUCAAGAAACUUCAACAACAAGAACCUACAAGAUUCCAAUUGAAUUAUCAUCAAGAACUCAUAGGAUUUACUUUCAAAUCAAUAUAACUUUGCUAAAUUGAAUCCUGAUUGGCGCGUGGGUGAACUACCCAACGCUAUGUGAUCUCACAUACCUCAUAGGAUUGAAUCCUUGGCGAAAUCAACAGCCAAACUCGAACGUUCUUGACGAUUCUUGAUUUCUCCUCUCCUUUCUACUCUUUUCUCUUUUCUCCAAGCCCUAGCGUGAACUUCAACUUUUCUAAACUGACUAAAAUCUGAUUUUACCCCAAUUAAACUCCUAAAAAUGAAUUAAAAUAAUUGGGUAAGAAAAAGACUAAAAUACCGUUCCAAAAUCCGGAUUAGACUUUCCUUAUUUGAACAACCCAACUUCAAAUGGGCAUAUCUCACUCAUACGAACUUGGAAUCGCGCAAACUCAGCGGCGUUGGAAAGAUUAUUCCAAGAUUUUUUCUACAGUAACUGGAAGUACACCUAACGCAUGCUGAGCUACAAGUUAUGGUCAUUUGAUGUUGACUAAAAACUCAACUUAACAUACUUAAAAAAUUUCCAGAUUUCAAUUCUUUCCAAAAGUGACUAUUUCCAAUUCUUAGCUUCUUCCUAGUUAUUUCAAUUUGCGAGAUGUUACACUUUGUUUUGAGGAAAUAACUGUAUUUUCCUUAUACUUGUUUAUUCUUUAAGGUCAAAGUCCUGGAUAAUAAAGAAAAGUGGUAUGCUAUAUUUUUAGUAGGGGUGUACAUGACCGGAUUGGUUUGGAUUUUUCAACUAUCAAACCAAAUCAUUUGUGUAAAAAUUUUAAAUUUAUAAACCAAACCAAACUAACAAAACUCGCGUUUUUUUUUUUUGAGUUUUUCAACCUCGGAUUGGUUCGAGUUUUUCAAAUAUUAAACCAAACCAUUUGUGUCAAAUUUUUUAAUUCUUAAAUCAAACCAAACUAAUAAACCUCGGGUUUUUUCAGGUUUAUGGAUUUUUCCAGUAAAGUAUUCAUACAAACAUAUAAUUAACUUGUGCUCCAAAUAUUUCUUUAUAAGUCCAACCAGAAUACAAUUAUCUAAGGUGUUUCUUAAGAAAAUAACACAAAAUAUGAGAUGAGUGAUGACACUAAAAUAUUCAAUAGAAAAUAAUAAUGAAAUCAUAUAAAAUAAAUAUUGCAAAUUGAUAAGUCAUAAUGAAAAUGAUCAUAAUUUAAAAGUACUAAAUCAUGCAAAAAUAAGUCUAAUAAGUAUUAAUUACAUGAUUAAACAUUAAAAAAAUAGAUUAUGUAUUUUAAAUGUCUAAACCAAUGUAAAACUAAAGAACAAAUAUUCAACAUUGUUGUCAUUCUUAGUGUUGAAUUAAUUUAUUUUAUAAGCAUUAGUAUUGAUUUAAUUUCAAAUUGAGCUUUAUUGGAGUUACUAAUAUCUAUGAACUAUAACCUUUAUUGGACCAUUCAAAAUUUUAAGUCUCAAAAAACUUGAAAAAAUAUGUUAAAACAUAAAAAUUACGAAAACGUAUAAGUAAUAUUUAAAAAUUACCAAAGUAAAUACUUUUAUAUAUUAAAUAAAUUUUAAAAAUUAUAUAUAUAUAAUGUCGGGUUGACUUUUUUUUUAGUUAAAACCAAACCAAUUCAAGUAUAGUCGGAUUUUUUUUUCAAUACCAAACCAAGUCAAACCAAACCAUUCAUCGAGGUUUUUUUCGAUCCAACAUGAUUUGUGAUUUGAUUCGAUUUUCGGUUCGAUUUUGUACACCCCUAAUUUUUAGGAUAUCUUAUUUACAUUAUGCACUUAGGGCCCGUUUGGAUUGACUUAAAAAAGUAACUUUUAAAUCAAAAAAAAAAAAGUCAAACUGAAAUGACUUUUAAGUCAAAAAAUAAAAAGUAGAGGGAGACCUGCUUUUUGAUUUUUGACUUAUUUUAAGUCAUUUUAAACUUAUUUUAAGUCACUCUUGACCUUGCCAAACACUUCUCAACUUAUUUUAAGUCAUUUUGACUUAUUUUAAGUUAUUUUUUAUAUUUGUCAAACAUUUCCAAAAGUCAAAAAUUGACUUUAAAAUAGAUUUGACCAAUUUUUAAAUUAAUCCAAACACCCUCUUAGUACAAGAUAGUAGAACUAAUAUAGAGAAUCUGGUUUCAGUAUUGAAGGUUGUACUAUUUGGUGUUUAGGCUGAAAAUCUUUUAAGACACUCUUCAACCCCCUCUAGUUUCCAAAUGAUGUACCAAAGCAACACUUAUUUUUUAAUAAAAAAUGAUUAAUUUAAUUAAACUCACCUUAGAAAUUAAAAUAGAAGAUUUUUAUUAAAGAUGACAUCAUUUUUAUAUUCAAGCUCAAGAUUUCUAAUUAAAAAUUAAAAAAAUUCGAAGUCUUUUAGAAUAAAUUUUGGAAGAAACUUUCUCCACUACCACUAUUAAUUAUCUGGAUCAUUCACAAAUGUACAAAACGUAAAAAUUCUAGAGCAAGAAAACAAAAAAAAACAAAGAAAAAGGAGGCAAGAAGAGUGUGGUAGGUAGCCAAAAAGAGAACGUGUCACAAAAAUGUGUUGCAAAAUUUUGUGAAUGUGUUCAAACGUGUCACAACAUGCAAUGCUACGUGUAUCCAAACUUUAGCCCCUCCAUUUCCCAUGCCAUAUAAAUGUCCUUAAUUUAUUUUUUCUUUUAUAGUAUAGUAUAAAAAAUCUACACCUCGCUACAAUAAUCGAUAGAAGUUAAGAUGGCUCAGAUUACAAUAGACCCACAAGGUGAGAAAAUUGAAUCUUUUGUACUGUUGAGUGGUCACAAGAUUCCUGCUAUUGGUUUGGGCACUUGGAGAGCUCAUAAUGCAAGGGAUUCUGUUUAUACUGCUAUUGUUGAGGUACUCUACCUCGUCCCAUUAUACAUAAUUAUAUUGUAUCGUAUUGGUAUGUCAAAGUAAUAUUGCGAAUUGAUUAUAUGUUGAUUUGUGUAGAUGAAGUAAAUUAAUAAUUUGAUUCAACUAGAUAAACAAGUAUUCAUUAGUGGUUGUUUAAUAUUGAGAAAAAAAAACUCGAUCAUAGUAAUUUGGUUUUAACUAUAAAAAAAAAACAAUUUGAACCAACUCAACUCGACGUUUCAUGUAUACAUUUUUAAAAAUAUUUUAUCAUACAUAAUAAUAUUUAUUGUAAUAUAAUUUAGGGAAAAGGGUCAAAUAUGCUCCUAAACUAUUCGAAAAGGUUUAGAUAUACCCCGUUUAAAGUUUGGCUCACUCGUGUCCUCGCCGUCCAACUUUUCGUCUACAUAUGCCCUUAUGGGCGUUAAAUGUCAAAUGGAAUUGCCACGUUAUUUUUACAUUACCACGUGGCAUUUAUAUUAAAGGAAAAAGGGUCAAAUAUACCCCUAAACUAUUCGAAAAGGUCUAGAUAUACCCCCUUUUAAAUAAACUACCCGACCCGUUUUCAACUAUUUUUUCGAUAAAUCCCGAAAAUGAGUAAUUGACUAAUAAAAAACAGGAAAAAUAUGAAGAAGAAAAAAAAUUAACGCCAAAAAUUCGCAAAUAAAUAUAGUAACCUUAAAUUCAACAAUUUCAACAAUUUUUUUAAAUUUUUAUUUUUUUCGAUAAAUCACGAAAAUGAGUAAUUGAUUAAUAAAAAAAUAUGAAAAUGACUUUAUGCUGAAUUUUUAGGUUAUAUUUUUCAUAUUUUUUAUUAAUCAAUUACUCAUUUUCGGGAUCUAUCAAAAAAAAAAAAUUGUUGAAAUCGUUGAAUUUAAGGUUACUAUAUUUAUUUGUGAAUUUUUGGCGUUAAUUUUAUUUAUUUUUUUCAUAUUUUUCCUAUUUUUUAUUAGUCAAUUACUCAUUUUCGGGAUUUACCGAAAUUUUAUUAUUGAAAACGGAUCGGGUAGUUUAUUUAAAAUGGGGUAUAUCUAGACCUUUUCAAAUAGUUUAGGGGUAUAUUUGACCCUUUUCCCUUUAAUAUAAAUGUCACGUGGUAAUGUAAAAAUGAUGUGGCAAUUCCAUUUGGCAUUUAACGCUCAUAAGGGCAUAUUUAGACGAAAAGUUGGACGGCGAGGGCACGAGUGAGCCAAACUUUAAACGGGGUAUAUCUAGACCUUUUAGAAUAGUUUAGGGACAUAUUUGACUCUUUUUAAUAUUUUUUGAACUUUUUCAUAAUUUUUUGUCUCUUUAACAUAUAUAAGUUCAGAUCAAACUUAAAAUUUUAAAUGAUUCAAUAAAUUUUAUAGCACAGAUAUAUUAGUAAUUUGAAUAAAAACUCAAAUCAGAAUCAAAAUCAAUAUUAAUAGUAACAAAAGAAAUUCAAUUCAGCAAGAAUGACAAUAAUAUUUUAGAUAGUGCAUUGUUUGGCCAAGAAAAAAAAGCACUUUAUUCGAAAUUUUCAAAGUUGAUGUUGGAGCGUGUGUUCGGUAUACUUUUUGCAAGUACUUUAUUAAAAAAAAAAAAAAAAAAAAAAAAAAACCACCCCACCCCAAAAAAAAAAAAAAAAAAAAAACCUAGCCACCUAGGACGAUUAACGGUAUGGUAUUUUCGAUUAAAAAAAAUUAUCUAUCAAAUUAAUUUGGUAUGAUUUGGUAUUUUUAAAUCUCAUUUUGAAAUUUUGUGUUACUCUGAAUUGAUAAUUACAGUUUGUUCGAUUUCGACUUACAUAUACUCAUAUAAUAAAUAAAGAAGUAUGACUUUGAUUUUUCGCCUCAUUCAUUCUGGUGCGUGUGAGUCGCUUAGAAUGUUUUGUGAUCUUCAUUCCCCAAGGCUUGCCCUUUGGAGCAUGAAACCCAACCUUUUAGCAAAUUUGAUUAUUUAAAACUGUUUUUUAUGAGAAUUUAUGCUCUUGACUAUGGCUGCAGGCUGGCUACAGGCAUGUUGACACAGCGGCAGAGUAUGGAGUCCAAGAUGAGGUUCUUUUUCAUUUGUGAUUAUCCCUUUUAAGUUGCUGAGUUAUAUCAAUGUAGUAUUAUUAUGUACAAGUUGUUCAGCAUACACAUACGAACGAGGCUUAGUUUUCUAAACAGAAUUAUUGUGCACAUAGUUUAAAGUUUUCUAUAACAGAAUUGGUAAAUAGAUGUCAUUUUAGACAUUUAGGAUCGACGUGCAAGUAUGAAAUUUCAACAGUGUUUUGUUCUUUACAUAGGUUGGUCAUGGAAUUAAGGCAGCUAUACAUGCAGGAGUAGAGAGAUCAGCCUUAUUUGUCACAUCUAAACUAUGGUAGUAUGAUGAACUUAUUUUAAAUCUCUAGGAUUUUUUUAUACAUCCAACAUGCAAUUAAACGAAUUAAGGAGAUUUUAUUGAUUGUUUUAGGUGUUAUGAUUUGUCACUGGAGAGAGUUCGACCUGCAUUGAUGAAGACACUCAAUGAAUUGCAACUGGAUUAUCUUGAUCUUUACCUGGUACUUCCUUCACACGGCCUUUUUCGCGGUAUUUAGUUGGUAGUUUUGAAAUCUAAUAGGUGAAUCUGCACAUUUUGUGUUGAAGAUUCAUUGGCCCUUUCGUCUCAAGGACGGAGCAAGUAGACCUCCAAAAGCAGGGGAAGUGUCUGACUUCGAUUGGGAAGGCGUUUGGAGAGAAAUGGAGAAGUUAGUGAAAGAUAAACUCGUACGAGAUAUUGGAGUAUGUAAUUUCACUGUCAAGAAACUUAAUAAGCUUUUAGAUAUUGCACAGAUAAUGCCUUCUGUAUGCCAGGUUAGUUGAAUACUAAUUCUCGUCUUUCAAUUAAUCGUAUCGAUGUCCUCCUCUUCUUCCUUUUUUCGUAUUUAUGGGUAAUGUUAUGUACUGAUCAGAUGGAGAUGCACCCCGGAUGGAGAAAUGAAAAAAUGUUGGAAGCGUGCAAGAAAAAUAAUAUUCACGUCACAGUAAGUAACUGAAACUUUAUGCAUAUAACAUAUAUCAACAAUGAUUUGGUAGCUAACAAGUUUCAAAUGUAAUGAACUUGAGGUACUACUAAUACCAAACUUUAUGCAUAUAAUAUAUAUCAACAAUGAUUUGGUAGCUAACAAAUUUCAAAUGUAAUGAACUUGAGGUACUACUAAUACCUCGCGGAGUUGAGACUUGUAUAUAUUUAUUUAUGCCUGAGGUCGAUUGCAUCUACUUUUUUCAGGCGUAUUCACCUUUGGGUUCGCGAGAAGUUGAUCUAAUUCAUCAUCCUGUAGUAGAGAGAGUAGCAGGAAAGCUAAAUAAAACGCCGGGGCAGGUGCUAGUGAGGUGGGCUAUACAAAGAGGAACGAGUACAAUUCCGAAAUCUGAUCACUCAGAAAGAAUAAAAGAGAACAUUAAAGUGUUUUCAUGGGAAAUUCCAGAGCUAGAUUUCCAAGCUAUUUGUGAUAUUCCAGAUCAGGUACUUCUCUCUUGUCAUUUAAAAGUUCGUUAUUACCAGUAGUUCCUACGUAAACAAUAAUUGAAUUCUCAUUAUUUGUUUGUGCAGAUGCGAGUAUUAGAUGGGGAGGAAUUGUUUGUGAACAAGAGUGAUGGGCCUUACAAGAGCGUAACAGAUAUUUGGGACCACGAAAUCUAAUUUAUGUUUUUUCUUCAGUUUGCCUUGUUUUAGUAUAUAUAUAUAUUUCUUUCGCCCUUAUUAGCUUUUAAAAUAAAAUAAGAUGAAAUGUUGUAGUUGGAUGAUAAUAGUGGGUAAUAGUACUAUAUUAAUCUUUGAAUAUAUUAAAUUUAAUGCUUUAGGAAAUAUAUGUAUUAGAUAUUGAAUAAUUAUAUUUAAUAUCAAAGGUAAAAUAGACACAAAAUGGUAAAUUAUAUCUUGAAUUUUCAAACUGAAUAAGUAUUUUGAUAGAAAAUUAUUUUUAGUAUAGUUGAUAAGUAAAGAUAGACCGAGCUUCAUUUUAGCAUGCAGUUCCGUUUCUUCAGUUUUAUGCCUCAUGGCGUAGUUGUGUCGAUAUAUCCUAGUAUUAAGUUGGAGGUGGCAAAAUUAGUUUAUUAAAAUGUUAGUAUUAAUUUGUACAUAUAUUAGUUGAGUCUAGUAAAAUUGGGUCAAUAUUCAACUCAAAUUGAUUUUAUAAUCAUGAUACACACUAUUCCCAAUUUUCAUCUUUUGAAUUGCAUCACUCUUUAAAAAUAGAGUAAAAUAAAAAUAGCGUAAAAUAGAAUUUUAACUUCUUAACUAUUUUCCUAAUUUAAUUAUUCAUUCACUCCAAUUAGCUCACUUCCUCUCCUAAUUCUUUGUUCAUCACUUAAUUCUGUCUCCUUCUUCCCUUACUCCCAUCUGAAAAUUGAAUGGAAAAUGGAGCAUUACAAAUCAGAUUCUUUGAGUUUUAUAACUAAUUCAAUUAUUAUUUGAGUCAUGCUAGGGCUGUUCAAAACCGAAUCAAAAUCAAUAACCUGAACCGAAAAAAAGUUAUUGAUUUAUCAAUAUUGGGUUAUUGGUUUAGCGGUUUUGAUAACGGUUUUGAUUUAUUUUUUUGUUAUCGGGUUAUCGGUUCUUAAUGGUUUGAGGUUUUUUUUUAACGGGUUAACCGAUAACCCGAUAGUAAAUCAAAAUAAUUAUAUUUAUACCAUUUUGUGUAUAAAGUCAUUGACUUAGAGUUUGGUUUCCUACUUUUAUUUCUGGUUGUCUCAAACACUUGGUUAUUCUACAAUGUAAAAAUGUUUGCUUCUGAGCAAGAUGUAACUUGUGAACUCAUGUGCAUGGUUUCAUUGGUUUGUCACCUUGUUUCUAAGUGAUUUUCAAUGUUUUUUUAUGUCAAAUCUUAACGGUUGAACCAAUAACCAAACCGAUAACAAUCAAAAAUUGAUAAACCAAUAACCUAUUAGUCAAUCUCUUAAUGGUUCUAUAACGGUUUAGCAUCUCUACAAACCGAUAACCAAUAAGCCAAACCGAUAAACUUCAAAACCGAACUAAACCGACCGAUACGCAGCCCUAAGUCAUGCUCUUCAUUUUCAUCCCUCAAAAAUCUCAACCAAUCUUCACAAUAAUGACAAGAUUAACGCAUCACUACGUAAGAAAUGAUUUUUAGUGGUGAUUAAUUAAUGGUAAUAACUUAAUUGUCACUAAAUAUUUAUUUUUAGCAGUAAUUAGCACUCUCUAUAUAUGUCCCUAAAGUUUUUAGCGACAUUGAUUCUAAUGACACUUAACUAAUGCCGAUAAAAACUUUAACACUUUUUAUUAAUAUGUAUAUUUAUUGCCGUUAUAGAGUUGUUUUUGUUAUAGUAACGGUGAAAUCAUAUAUGAAUCUCUACAACACACCAUUGUAUGUUUCUAGGCAUUUAAUUACCUAAGCAUGUACGAAUAAUAUAUCUGCUGUGUAUCUAAGAAUGUAUUUGCAUUUAUGUAUCUGUCAUGUAUAUGAGAUGUACAUAUCAUGUAGUUGAACAUAUCUGAGUUGCACCAUAUUGUAUCUUGUAUGUAUCUGUUAAUGUAUUUAAGUUGUAUAUGUGUAUCUAAUAUGUACAUGAACUCAUGUAUCUAAAUACGUAUCGCGUAUUAGACUCAUAGCAUCAUAAAUAGUGUAAGAAAUUUAAGUUCUUGAAUAUCUCAACAAUACAGUGAUACUUGUCAUUGUGUAUUUCAUAAAGCUUGAAAUUCGAACUAACAUAAACAAUUAUUGGAGAAAAAAUUCAGGGAAAAAGUAGUGAAUUUUUUUUAGAGAAAAUUAUUCGUAUAAGCAAACAUAUAAUAGUUAAUUACUUAACAUAGCUAUAGUUUGCCUUAAUUACAAUUUGCGGCCUACUUUUAGCUAUAAUUACGCAGCUCAGCUUUUUAGUUUUGUAUAAUUCGCACGUUUGUAUAAUUCGAAAUUUGUAUAAUAUAAUUUGUAUAACUUUUGUAUAAUUCGUUAUUUGUAUAAUAUAAUUUGUAUAACGGUUUACACUUCUGAUGUUUGUAAUUGUAUAAAUUCGUUAUUUUGAGUUUAUACAAAAAUAACUGAAUUAUACAAAUGUACCCGCGAAUUAUAGAAACAUGCGAAUUUAUACAAAUUCACGAAUUAUACAAACGAGAUAGCUUAAAUUGUAGCUACAAUAUAAAUAUGCAAACUAUAGCUAUGGAGCAUAAUUAAGUUUAUUAAAGUGGCUAUUUGCGAAAGUUCCUCUUUUUUUUAUGCACGGAAAAAAUGGGAAGAAUUUUGAAUUUUUUAUUUUUUAUGGAUCAGGGAUACAACAGAUACUCUUGAAUCAUUAUACGCAUGAUUUGCUCCUAAAUUAAUGUCUUUCGAUUACAUUUCAUAUUUAAAUACACAUAAUUAGAUAUAUCUGAUUAACAUAUAUUCGAAAUAUAUGUAUUUGAAUAGCAUGAGAAAUUUACUAAAUUUACAGCUAGUGGAGCAGUGGUUCACAUAGGAUGGUUCCCUAGUGGAAAUAUACUAAGUUUACUAGUUGACAAGAGAUUGAAAAAGGAAAUAUAAAAAUAUGACAUUUGGAAUUUGAAAAUGGUAGUAUAACACACUACACAUCCCUCUUGGCAAAAGCGUAAUGUUUAUGAUUUUUUUAUAUUCACAUGUAAAUGAUUUUUUGGAGAUCGAUUAAAUAGGCUUCAAAGCCCCUUAAUGACCCCCUUUUUUUAAUCUCGUUGACAUAGAUUAUAAAAAGGGAAAAUCAGCAAAUUAGUCGCAAUCCCUAACGUAAUUAGUAAAAACAUCUACACUUUAAAAUAAUUAUUAAAAAUGUUAAAAUGUCAAUAUUUAAGAAAAUGAUUUGUAUCCUAAUAUAACUAUUUUCCUUUCCUUUUAUUUCUCAAAACAAUCUCAUAUUGGAUCAAUUUUUACACCACUAACCAGUAAAAAAAGAAAAAAAUAUUUUUAUUAUCCAUUACCCUUCUUUCUAGGUUUUAACUCAAGUCAAUAUUCUCUCUCUCUUCACGUUUUCCCAUUUUUUCUCUCAUUCAUUGUUCAAGAAAAAUUAACUCUUCCAUUUUCUCCCAAUUUGUUCAAGAAAUCUAUCAAUUAAUUCAAGAAAUCUCUCAAUUGAUAAAGGUAAUUUCGAAGUCAUCAAAUAUUUUGUGAGUUUUCUUCUGAUUUUGUUUUCAUAUUCACUAAAUAUUUUUGUAUUUCGGAUUUUAUGUAUUUCUGAUUUUCUGUCCUCUUUUCGAUUUUUUUGUGAGUUUGUUCACAUAUUUGAGAUUCAGUAGAUUGUAGUAAUCUACAUUAGCAUUCAUACAUCAUAUAUUGUUUGCUUUUUUAUACAUUCAUAUUUAAUAAUUUCAAUUUUUCCUUAUAGGGUUACUAAUGCACAAGUGAAUACGGAUUCAAAUUUGAAUUUGGUGAAGACAAAAUCGAAAAAAAAAGAAAAUAGCAGAAGAAGAAGAAGAAGAAAGAGAGAGUCAAGGUUGCAAAAUUGUAUUCACAACAGAAUUGUAUUUAUAUUAAUUUUUGUUUGUUAAUUGUUUUUUUUACUCAACAUUUGUAAGAAAUACAUUUUUUUGUCAUGAAAUACAAAUUUUGAUUGUAUUAAGAUUGUAAAUUUGUAUGUUUUGAUGAUUGAAAUACAAAUUUGUUGGAAUUUUAAGAAAGAAUAUACGUUUUUGAAAAAUAUACAAAACCAAUGUGGUAUCCUUUCUGAAUGAACACAGAUUACAUAAGUAUAUAUGGAUACAAAUAUUUUAUUUAUAUUUUUAUUUGUGGAUACAAAUAUCAUUCUAAAUAACUACAAAUCUUUGGUAUACCUAUUAGAAUGAAUACAAACUAAUAAAGAACUACAAAUGUCAUUAUACAAACUCAAACAUGAAAACCAUAAUGAAUACAAAUACACAUAUCAUCAUAUUGGAAUGAAUGCAAUCAAUUACUUUUGAAAUUGUAACUGAUGAGAAUUUUAAGUGAUAUGUUCCUUUUUAAAUAAUAUUUUCUCCCAUGAUUUACUCAUUUCUGUUAUUAAAUAAUUGUAUUCUUUCAACUCAAACAAAUAGAAAAAUACAUAAAUCAGAAGAAUAACAAACUAAAAUAUUGACAUUUUUAAUAAAUAUUGAAAAUGUUGAUAAGAGGUCCCAUUAAAUGCUGAAAUAAUGACAUUUUGAAAAUUUUCCCUUAUAAAAACUCCAUUGCAAUUUGCAGCAGACAUGUGCACCAAAUCCAACCUCCCCCACACCCACCUUUAUAAUUUUUGUUCAUGAUUGCAAAUAAAAUGAUUGUAAUUAAACAAAACUAACUAAACUUCAACCAUACAUAACUCAAAGUUCAGAUAAAUUGAGAAGAUCAAUAAUUAUUUCCUGGAGAAAAAAUGCACCAACUUCUUUACUCAUGCAACUUUAAACAUUUUUGUAUAAAGAAGACUAAAAUUUGAUUGACUGAAUCAAGCUUUGGAGAACGCAGGCAGUCUGUACAAGAUUGGGGUCUAAAGUCAAAUUUCGUAUUGAGAUCUUAUUUUUUUUAGUUCAUAUAUAUAAAUUGAAUAAUAAUAACCUACACAAUGUGAUCCUAUAAAUGAGGUUUGGAAAGGUAGGAUAUAUAUUAUUAUUAUAUUAUGGACAUUAUGAAGUAGAGUUGUUGGCAAAAAACAUCCUUAAAUUAUAGAGUAAAUUUUAGGUUUAGCAAACAUAAAAAUCAUAUUUGUAUGCUAUAGUUAUAGUUUGUAUAAUUGUGCUCCAUAGAAAACUUUAUGUUUGUUAUGGCUAUUAAUCUGUAUAUUUCAGUACACAUAUACAUAAAAAAUAUGUUUUUGGGUCUAUUUGUAUAUUUCGGUAUACAAAUGGAUCUUGCAUUUGUAUAUUUUGGUAUACAAAUGAGUCCUGCUUUUGUAUAUUUCGGUAUACAAAUGGGAUGGCAAAAAACAUGGAAUGUUUGCUACGAAUUACAAAUGAAAAAAAAACUAUGGUUAUAGCAUUUAAUUUGAAUUAAUACUUUGUUAUUUCAUACAAUUUUCCCUAAAUUAUACCCUCAACUUAAACUACAUCCUUAAAUUAUUUUUCUUAACAGAAUACGUCCCUCAAUUAGUUAAAAUUUGACAACUUUCAUCCUUUUAUUAAAAUUUGUCAAAAACUAACAAAUUCUUCACAACAACAUGUACGGUGCACAUUGCUCUCAACAAAUUAAACUCCCUAAAUCACCCCAAUAAACCAAUUUUGUUCAUUCUACGUACAUCUAAAAUAAUAUUAUAAUUUUUUUUAGUAACAACGUUUUGCAUUGUCUUCCUUUUAAUUAGCAAUUUUAUUUUUAUUUACUUUUCAUUUGAUUUGAUAUCAAAGAAUUAUCUAUGGAAAUGUUUUCUUUUCAUUGAAUCUGUUUACUUCUAAUAAUGGAAAACGAAACUUGAGUACUAGAGAUCAAAAUUAGCUGAAUCUUGAUCACAUCAAUUAUCAAUUUGCCCCAAAAAAUUAUUGAUCUAACGACAUUUUGACUUUGCAAGGUGAAGAUGGUGUGAAAUUAAGCUCCAACUUCAUUCAGUUUGUAAAGGAGAAGAGAAGAUCAUAUCUCCUCAUAGACUCACACCGUCCUAACAUUAUUUUUUUAACAACAAACAUGAGUCUCAAUUUUUUAUUUUUUAUAUUUUAUUUUUGGAUGCUUUUUCCAACCGGUAAUAAUAUUAUAGAUUAUUUUUUUUAUGAGAAUAGUAGGAAUUGCAUAUGUUUUUGUGUGGAAUUCACUAUUUUUUUUGGUAAAUUCAAAUAGAGGGAUGAAUGUUGUUAAGUUUUAAAUACUUGGAGAAUGUUUUUUGUUAAGAAGAAUAAUUUAAGGAUGUAGUUUAAGUUGGGGUUAUAGUUUAAGGAUGUUUUUAGCCAAAAACUCUUAUGGAGUAAGAAGGUACGUAAACAAUGUAAAUUUCCAAUGAAAUAAAGUUAUAAAAAAAUAAAAUCUGACUCAAAAUUUGAAAAGCUUAUAUAAUGAUAUCGAAAUAGUGUUGCGUUAAAUUUGAUAAGUUGAUAUAAUGAUAUUAAAAUAGUUUCUAUUAGUUUUAGUGCUUGAAAUUUGAAGAAGACGUCAAAAAAAAAAUUGAUCUUUCUAUAAACACACAAUAAUAAUUUUGCGUAAUAUAUGUAUAAGGUUUGACUGUUUGAAAGACUUUACAAUAUUUAAUAAUGAGAGAAUAAAAAUAGUGAAAGGGGAUUAAAAAAAUAUAAACAUAAGAAUAAUAAUUGAUUCAUGAUAAUCGUCAGAAUAUAUAUAAGGCAACAAAAUAGAUAGCCACAUAAAAAAGAUGCUACAAUUAACUAAACAUUACUUCAUUUCUCAAUUUAACAAUGAUUCAUAUAUUUAAUGAGGUAAAAAGCUAUUAUCUUUUCUAUCCAAGAAAUUCUUUUCAAAUUUAUUAAUACAUGAUUUUUUUACACAAUAUAUAUAUAUAUAUGGGAGAAAGUGGAGGCUGUAAAAAAAUUGGUCCCCCAAACGAUUGAUUUAGUAGCCUUAUCGUCGAGAGGGCCCUGGAGAAGGAGGAUUGAGCUCUCUCAAGAUCUUAAGAAUCAUCCAUGGUAGAGGCACUACAUAAAAAAAAAUAUAAAAAAAAUAGUGGUAAUUAAUGGCAAUUGCUUUAUUGUCGGUAAAUAUGUUUUUUUAGAGGCAAUCAACACUUUUUGUAAAUAUUUUUAAAGCCUAUAAUGAUAUUAGAUCUAAUGACUAUUAACUAAUAUUAGUAUAAGUUUCAACACUUUUUACUAAUAUACAUAUUUAUUACCGCAAAAAUUUAUUUUUAUAAGAUUGAGCUUCUUCAGAUGUUAUAUCACAAGAGAAGAAGAAGAGAUGAGACAACUCCAAUUAUGAAUUGUGAAAGAUGCAAACGGAUUAAUCAUUUCACUAAAUCUGAAGUUUAUAUUUCACGGUAGGGGUGUCAAUAAAUCCUAUUAAACUAGAGGUGGCGAAAUUGAUCCAUUAAAACGUUAUUAUUUUGUGUAUUUUACUAGUUCAGUCUUGAAAUAGUUGGAUCAAUAUUUAACUCAAAUUGAUUAAUGAGAAACUUUGUCAAAGUAUUUUCAAAUGAAUAUUUUUGUAGUAGAUAUAUUAUAUAGUUAUAAAAAAAAGUAAUAAUUUUAAAGAAUAAAUAAAGUAAUUAAAAUUUAAUAAAAGAAGACGGUUGAGUUAUGAUUUACAUUUUAAUCAAUUUCAAUCAAGUAUGAUUUGCAUUUUAAUUCAUUCAAUCAAGUAAUUUUUGGACCGGAUUCUGUUUUUGGACUGAUUAAAUAGUUCAUUUGUUUUGAUUCUUCAAAUUCCUAGUUGUCCUAGUCACCCCAACAUCAACCUGCUCGUUGAGCGUCUCUAUUUUUUCCUUCAUGAAAUCGAUAGUGCUCAACGCUUCCAUGAGUCUGCACUCUAAAAUAGUGACGGUCUGCCUCAUCUCUAUCUUCAUCUGUGUACACCUAUUCAAGUCAUUUCAAAUGUUUUCGAUCUCCUCAAAAGUAUGUCCCACAAGAUAGCUUAGUGUGCCUUCUACUUUCCUAAAGCAUUGGCUAAAUAUCUCAAUUGCAUCAAUCCCUGCAUUAACCUUCGUGAACCACUCUCUACCAAACAAGACGUCCUCAGGCAAGACCUUCACAUCAUCCUUGCUCGCCUGAGUGGUAUAAGGUUCUUGGAAUGUAAGUCUUUCAUUUGACUCAACCUCGAGUGGUACCUUCUCGUUCAUGUUGGCAACAUUCCUCUUUUUGGUAUAGUCCUUGUCGGCGGCAUCCUGGGUGACGUUAGCUUGAAUGUUAGCAACAUUAAUUUUUCCAUCAUUUGUCAUUCUUUUAGUUGCAACCUUGCCUACCACAUUGGCUUAAGUCUUUUACUAAGCACACAUGUGAUACUUGACAAUUUGCUCAUGAUCUUGCUAUGUCAAGUCAACCCAAGACUAUAGAAAUCACUAAGAGAAUGAUAGAGAGAACACAAUAGAUCAUUGAUAUGAAGAAUGUCGUUGAGAACUUUGAUUGAUUUUUGUUUGAUGAUUUUACCAAUGGAUGUCCCUCUAUUUACAGUACUUUCGAUCACUUAGAGGUUGAUAUAUAAAUAACAAUUGUCAAACAAGUUUAUACAUAUUUACAAAUAAGUCUUUUUUCUAAAAUCUCUACAUGCCUAAAAUAUUCUCCAAGGCCUUCUAAUUAUUCUUCCUAAAUAUUCUGAAGUCUUUCAAGAAACUUUACAUACUCUCAAAUCUUCCCACAAAUGCUAUCAUUCGUAUCAUGUAUGCUUCCACAUGAAAAAACUCUAUACCACGUGACACCUAAGUUGUGUGAUAACAUAAUGGGUCAUCAAAUAAUAGUGAAGCCAACAAUUUGACUAGAGAUUGAAAAAAACAAAAUAUAAAAGUCAAGUCAGUCAAGGUUCAUAUUAGGGAAAGGAGAGUGAGGGGAAGAGGAGGCAGCCCUCAGUCCAAUCAUCCAAUUCGCUCCAACAGACAGACAUGAUUCUGUAGUCAAAGCAACUUCGUCAUUUUUCGCAUUAGCACCUUCCCAUUUUGCUAAUGUUUAUUUUAUUCUUAAUAUUUUUCAAUUACACAAGGGUAAUAUUACUUCUUUUUUUCUUUUUUUUUCAUAUUCACUGUAAAUAAAAUUUUGGAGAUCCGUUAAUUAGGCUUCAAAGCCCCUUAAUUGAUCCCUUUUUUAUCUCGUUGACAUAAUUAUAUAACUCCAUGUGCACCAAACUUUGAUAAUUACACCGAAAAUUAAUGAUGAUCUCUUUGCCAGGUACAACAUCCACCUAGUUCUAAUUACUAACUAGUUGCCUCACACAACGUCCAAAAUAUUUCAUUGCUACUCCCUAAGAAAGAUAUGCUAGUAUAUACCUCCGUCUUAUAUAGUAAAUAUUUUAUUAAUUUGAUUAUCGAUUUAGCUGGUUCACAAACUAAAAUUUAAUCAAUCAUAACAUUAAUACAUAAAAUCGACCAAUCGAUGCAUAUUACUACUUUCAUUUCAUCUCCAAGGAAUUUCUAAUUAAUGAAAGGGUUUCGUUUGAUUCCUUAUAAGCAUACCAAAACGUAUUGGGGUGUGAAAUGAACCACAAUGAGUUAAAAUUGAUCAAAUCAAUAAAUAUCUAAGCUAUAGUUUGGUUAUUUAAUGAGAAAUCCCUUAAUAUAUCAUCACAGGAUAAAAAUAUUGGCAUGGUAUCAUAUUUCAACGAGGCACUCUUCAAUCCUCUAUAAUACCAUCAUGGUGUAUCUAUAUACUGAUAUGAUUGGUAUCAUGGAGAACUGGUUCAGUCCUUCAGUGAGAUAUUCCUCAGUAACAACCACAAUAUACCUAUAUAUUGUCAUAAUAUCAUCUUUCAAUUUUCCAUGUAACAUAAGUCGGUAUACCUAUAUAUUUUCAUGAUAGCAACCUUCAAUGACACUCAUCAAUUUUCCAUGUUAUUUAAGUUGGUCAGAGCAUUCAGAUGAGCUAAUUUUAAUGACGUUGAAAAUAGAAGGAUUUCUUACGUAACUAUAUAGGGAAAAGGGAUAAUACAAUAAAAUGAUCAUAUAUUUAUUAAUGUAUCAAUAUCAUAUAACAGUGUAUAUAUAAUGUAUAAUGAGUCGAAUGUUAAUGGAAUUAGGCAAAUGUAAUAUCAACCAAACAAGUCAGGAACAUGGAAGAAAUCAUUUUCCAUUCUCAGUCAACUAUCUAAUCUGGAAUCAAUUGAGGGAAGCAAGCAAAGCUUAUUUCUUCAAACAAGUGUGUAAAAAAACGAAUUGUCGAACAAGAACAAACAUGAAGAUGAAGACUAUUGAGUAGAUAAGAGGUAAGGGGAACAAAGUGUUAGCACAAAAAUUCUAACAUCAUAAUCCAUUAAAAGCUCAACUUGUUUGAAUUGAAAGAGAAAGGAAUAUCCUUCGAUGAGCUUAACUUCAAGCCACAGUAUUUAAUCACAAAUAUUGUUGUUGUAGAAGCAAACGCAUUGAACGUAAUUCUUUCUAUGGGGCAAACAGUACAUACAUACGAAAAUUUGAAGUAAAGGAGAGAAUUUUUGGCCUGUUGUGUAAGAACUACAAAUAUAAGAACUAAAGAGCUAGGGAAACUAGACUGUAUUAUUGAUGAUUACCACCAUUGAUGAACAAGAACUCCACUUUCUCUUAGAGAAGUGAAGAGAUCCAAACACUGGCUAUACGUAUUCGGAUACUUUGAAGACCUCUCCCCAGGGCAGCAUUUCUGCCACCUAUUGUAAUGGCAUUCAAGAAACACUUCAUCAAUCAAGCAAAUUGCUCCUGUUUCAAUCAAUCUCGGGAUCAAAUCGAAUUCAGUCCCUUCAACAUCCAUCUUCAUCACCACAUAAUCCUUCUCUGAUACCGCGCUCAUCAACCAUUCAGCAAAGUCAAAACCUUGGAUUACAUCCACCUCACUUGCAGAUUCACUAGAAGAUUCAACAGGUUGAAUUCUUCCCAUCCCUCUUCCUUUUGCCACAUCUUUAUGACCCGGAUCUUGAUUAAUCUCAAACGACAACGUCUCAUUCUUAACCCAAGCUGCAUAUGGCAACAAAGUAACCCCUUUCUUCUCCUUAUACUGCCCAUGGAAAGUCUUGUCAGCCUCAACAGCAUAUAUCUCAAAGGUCUUGUUUUGCUUAGGAUACUGUUUCUUGAACCAACUCACAAUGCUUGAACCAUAACUCCUCGAACCAACAUCAACAUAGACAUAUCUCUGCUUAAAACUAAUAUCCGCCAUGGACGACAAGUACUUAAUGCUCUGUGCAUUCUUCUUAAGUGUAAUCCAUGGUUUCUUAGGUUCCUCUUUAAUCAAAGGCUCAGCUUUUUUAAUCAGUUUCAUUUUAUAAUCGGGAACAUGACGACAAUUGUUCUUGGAAUCACUCACUUUUUCUUCAACAAAUACAUCCUUUUUCAUAACAAUCUCACGAAUAGUCGAAUCGAAACCAUCAAUAUUCCUAGACUUAAUCAAUGUACAACAAUUAAACAAAUGAAGGAAUGAAUUGAAACUGUAUGUAUCAUUAGAACCUGUAUGGACAACCAAAAACCCUUCGGGUUUUAGAGUCCGGCAAAUCUCCGCCGCAAAAUCUCCCGGCUUAAGUGACUUAUCUAUCAUUCCGGCACCGGAAAAUAUGAAAUCGAAUGUAUCAUCUUCAAAGGGUUGCUUAACAGCUUUACCUGUAAUCACCAAAGGCUUUGAACCUUUCUUGUAAAGCCCAACGGAAUCGGCAACCCCAAUUUCCCUCAACGCAAAAACAUCAGCACCCAUCGGCGUUUCAACGCAAAGGGUUUUCGAAUUUGGGUUCAAAAAACCAUCCGCAACAAGAUCCUCAAACACCGAAGAAUAAAAUUGGGCCGACUUUUGGAAAUCUUUGUUCGCCCAUAGAUCGGGAAGUUUGGGCUUCGUCGGAGCAGAUUUUCCGGCAUUCUCGGUGGUCAUGACCGCUGAUACAGACCCAGCGAGCUGUCCGACGCCGGAAAUAACAUUGAGAUUUUCCGGUAUAGAGAAGAAACAAAAAUCGCCGAGGUCACAAGUUUCCCCUUUGAGAGUCACCACAUAAGCAAACCGACAACAGACAAUCACAACACAAAAAAGGCAUAAACGUACCAAAACAUUCCUAAAAAAUCCCGGUUUUCCCGUACUAUGAUCCAUCAAAAUCGCUCCUUUUACUUUUCAAAAAUGAAUAUCUACAACGAAUAUUUUGCAAGUAUAUAGAAGAAAAAAGAAUGGGUACCCAAAAUUUGAGAGGAGAGAAGAGGGGUUUUCUGAAAAGAAUGGAUUACCGGGAACAGAAACGAGCAGAGGUAUGAUUACCACCGAUGAGAGAACGAUGAGACAUAGGUUUUGAAAAGGGUAUAAAGAAAGGAGCGAAAUCAGUAAAAGGGCCCAACAUUUUGCAGGAGAAAAUCACUCUUUCAUAGAUUUCUUCCAGCAAUCCCAAACCCAAAUUC
RNAcentral lists this long non-coding RNA (32454 nucleotides) under Solanum tuberosum (potato). RNAcentral's name for it is "long non-coding RNA (STUB_LNC008841)". Lineage: Eukaryota; Viridiplantae; Streptophyta; Magnoliopsida; Solanales; Solanaceae. The record is from RNAcentral.